GCUGCUCAAGUAUGCUACCUCUCCGUGGGGAGCAGCAGGCAACGGAUUUUCCGGAGCUAAAUUAUACAA
RNAcentral lists this non-coding RNA (69 nucleotides) under unclassified sequences. The record is from RNAcentral.